AUUCGUACCCUUUGUUUGAUAGGUAUGGCAGCGUUAUUGAUGUCUUCAUCCCUGGUGACCGCAGAAUUGGUGAAUCUCGUGGGUUUGCUUUUGUUCGUUACAUGUAUCAAGAUGAAGCUACCAAAGCUGUUGAAAAGCUAGCUUGAUGGUUGGUUUUGAUUUUUCCCAAUUCAUCUUUUUUUUUCCACUUUCAAUUGUAUAUUGAAUUGGGUUUCUUUAAUUUGGGAAAAGAAUUCAACUUGGGUAUUCUUUUAAUUUAUAAUUUAUUGGGUAUUUUUUAGAAUUAAUUACCCCGAUUGGGUUAACUGUACAAAAUAGCUACAGUAGCUUAUGAAUAGUAAAUGUUGGUGCUAUUACUUAUGCGCCCUUGAAUUCAAUGAAUUGCCAAUUUUACCCUUUAUUGUUUCUGCUUUUUUGGUGGCCUGGAUUUGGCAGCUGUCUCACUUAGUUGUCUUCUUUCUCUCUCUUAACUCUUAAGUCUUCUUCUUUCUUCUCCUCUCACUAUAUUUCUCUCUCUUCCCGUUUCUUCUCUCCCCGCUCUAAUUUACUGUAGCUUAUGAACAGUACCCACGCUACUAUUCCUUAUAAACAGGGAAUUUCCGGUUGUGCCCUCUAAAAAGUUGGCUGAUAUACCUUUUGUCUUUACCCCUACUAUUCAAGUCACCUUGACUGCAUUUGCCUCCCAUCCGGCCUUUCGUACCCUUUACCAUGCUUUUUUCAGAUUUUCUUUCACUCUCCCAUGGCUGUUAUCUACUUCCCUCUUCUCCAUUUUCUUCCUUGCUCAUAUUGUCAUCAUCUAUUUGUCUAUUCUCCUUCAAUUUGUAGUCCAUGAAUAACCUGCAAAUUUUGAGUAUACAACAAAUCUUCAACUGGUAGCAAAAAUGAAAUCGGAAUCGUUGUUGUCGUUGUGGUGGGGUCCAACGAAAGAUCCGACGGCGGCGUGGUGGGAUAAAUAGAGGGUGUGUGAGAAGGAGGUGAAGGAGAGAAGAGAUUGUGAGGAAAAAGAGAUGGUUUUCCUCUGAAUUCGCUUUUGGAUUUCCUCUCAUACUCUCUCUUUGUCUUCAAAUCAACUUCCGUAUUUCCCCCUUUUCUCUCUCAUCCUCCAUUCUUUUCAUGUUUAACUUCUCAAAUUAAUCGAUUAAUCUUUGAAUUAUUUUGAUUUUUUUAUCAGGUACUACAACGGACGAUUCGUACCCUUUGUUCGACAGGUAUGGCAGCGUUAUUGAUGUCUUCAUCCCUGGUGACCGCAGAAUUGGUGAAUCUCGUGGGUUUGCUUUUUUUCGUUACAUGUAUCAAGAUGAAGCUACCAAAGCUGUUGAAAAGCUAGCUCGAUGGUUGGUUUUGAUUUUUCCCAAUUCAUCUUUUUUUUUUCCACUUUCAAUUGUAUGUUGAAUUGGGUUUUCUUUAAUUUGGGAAAAGAAUUCAACUUGGGUAUUCUUUUAAUUGAUAAUUUAUCGGGUAUUUUCUAGAAUUAAUUACCCCGAUUGGGUUAACUACACAAAAGUAGAUACUGUAGCUUAUGAAUAGUAAUUGUUGGUGCUAUUACUUAUGCGCCCUUGAAUUCAAUUAACUGCUAAUUUUACCCUUUAUUGUUUUUGCUUUUUUGGUGGCCUGGCUUUUGGCAGCUGUCUCAGUCAGUUGUCUUCUUGCUCUCUCUUAACUCUUAAUUCUUCUUCCUUCUUCUCCUCUCACUAUAUUUCUCUCUCUUCCCGUUUCUCCUCUCCCCGCUCUAAUUUACUGUAGCUUAUGCACAGUGCCCACGCUACAAUUCCUUAUAAACAGGGAAUUUCCGGUUGUGCCCUCUAAAAAGAUGGGCUGAUAUUUCUUUUGUCUUUACCCCUACUAUUCAAGUCACCUUGACUGCAUUUGCCUCCCAUCCGGCCAUUCGUACCCUUUACCAUGCUUUUUUCAGAUUUUCUUUCACUCUCCCAUGGCUAUUAUCUACUUCCCUCUUCUCCAUUUUCUUCCUUGCUCAUAUUGUCAUCAUCUAUUUGUCUAUUCUCCUUCAAUUUGUAGUCCAUGAAUAACCUGCAAGUUAGGGUUUUGUAUCCUAAGAUAAAUUUGUUAUUAGUUUUAAAUUAAAAUAUUGGGAAACAGUCGAAAAAAAGCUUCUAGGUUUUAAUUUUUUCUGGG
Molecule: long non-coding RNA, 2133 nt
Organism: Chenopodium quinoa (quinoa)
Lineage: Eukaryota; Viridiplantae; Streptophyta; Magnoliopsida; Caryophyllales; Amaranthaceae
Exons: 4
Source: RefSeq, a predicted model, not a curated record